CUUAUAGCCCACUAUUGUACAUGUUAGCUAUAUGAUGACUACAAAUGAUAUGAAAUCUUGUUAUAGCCAACAGUUGGCUAUACUAUUGGAAUUGCUCUUAAGGUGGGGUUGAUUGAUCCAACAGUGAAAGGAACACUAAAUGUUCUGGCCUCCUACAAGCAAGCUUCUUAGUUGACCUUGCUACUGAAUCCCAUACAGGAUACGCCCGAACCAUACAAAGAUGAUGCGUGGAAUGCUGAUGUUGCCCCUUUGGCUACCUCGAUGUUGCCCAGAGUGGAUAGGAGGAAGAUAGUUCAUCGUCAUGAUCGAGUCCACACGUGUCUUUGCUCGAGUCAGGAAUAAAUAUUUGCUCAGUGAAAUUUACUUGGGAUGAUUAUGUGUUUUCUAGUGUGCUUUGCCGUGAACGAAGAUCAUAUAUUUUUUAAAUUUGUGAUGUAUCUUGGAACCUUUUAUGCUCAUAUCCUACUCUUU
This is a long non-coding RNA of Lolium rigidum, 471 nucleotides long. RefSeq lists it as uncharacterized. The record is from RefSeq and is a predicted model, not a curated record. The transcript has 2 exons. Lineage: Eukaryota; Viridiplantae; Streptophyta; Magnoliopsida; Poales; Poaceae.